UGGGGAAUUUUGGACAAUGGGGGAAACCCUGAUCCAGCCAUCCCGCGUGUGCGAUGAAGGCCUUCGGGUUGUAAAGCACUUUUGGCAGGAAAGAAACGUCAUGGGUUAAUACCCCGUGAAACUGACGGUACCUGCAGAAUAAGCACCGGCUAACUACGUGCCAGCAGCCGCGGUAAUACGUAGGGUGCAAGCGUUAAUCGGAAUUACCGGGCGUAAAGCGUGCGCAGGCGGUUCGGAAAGAAAGAUGUGAAAUCCCAGAGCUCAACUUUGGAACUGCAUUUUUAACUACCGGGCUAGAGUGUGUCAGAGGGAGGUGGAAUUCCGCGUGUAGCAGUGAAAUGCGUAGAUAUGCGGAGGAACACCGAUGGCGAAGGCAGCCUCCUGGGAUAACACUGACGCUCAUGCACGAAAGCGUGGGGAGCAAACAGG
Molecule: ribosomal RNA, 429 nt
Filed under: Acidobacteriota bacterium
Lineage: Bacteria; Pseudomonadati; Acidobacteriota
Description: Acidobacteria bacterium partial 16S ribosomal RNA
Rfam family: Bacterial small subunit ribosomal RNA
Source: RNAcentral